UUGGAUCUUGGGGAGAAUGCAUUGUACAGUGAGAUACCAACCUGGAUAGGGGGAAGUCUUCAAAAUUUGAUUGUUCUUAGCUUGAAAUCUAAUAAUUUUCAUGGAAAUAUACCUUUGCAGUUAUGCCAUCUGGCAUUAAUUCAAGUCCUGGAUCUCUCUUUAAACAAUAUAUCGGGAAAUAUACCAAAAUGUUUCAAUAAUUUCUCAGCCAUGACCCGAGAAAAAAGUUCCAAUCCUAUCAUUGGGUUGGCUGAUAAAAUCUGGAUUCUCCCUAGAUAUGUAUAUAUGUAUAGUUAUUUGGACAAUGUUCUGUUGACAUGGAAAGGAAGUGAACACGAGUACAAAAGUACUUUGGGACUAUCGUACAACAACUUGUCAGGAAAAAUCCCAUUAGGCACUCAACUCCAGAGCUUCAAUGCUUCAGUGUACGCUGGAAAUCUUGAACUUUGUGGCUUUCCACUCGCAAAUAUGUGUCCGGAUGAAGAAUCAGCUCCAAGUCCAGGCACAGACGAUGAUUCAGACACUCUAGAAGAUGAGGACGAUCAGUUUAUAACUCUCGGAUUUUACGUGAGCUAUUCACUGGAGGGUCUAUCUUUAGUUGCCAAUGAUAUCACUGGGCCAUUACCUGAUCUUGUAGGGUUUUCAUCCCUAAAAACAUUAACACUUGGAGAAAAUCGAUUAAAUGGAACAAUAAACAAAAGCCUCAGCCAGUUGUUGAAGCUCGAGUCUCUGUCACUUGGUACGAAUUCAUUCACAGGUGUUAUCUCUGAAACUUUUUUUUCCAAUAUGUCCAACUUGCAGAUGUUGUACUUGAAUGAUAACUCUUUGACUUUGAAAUUGAGCCAUGAUUGGGUUCCUCCUUUUCAACUGAAAUCGUUAAGUCUUGCCUCUUGCAAGAUGGGACCUCAUUUUCCAAAAUGGCUUCAAACUCAAAAUCAACUUAUCUCCCUUGAUGUCUCCAAUAAUGGAAUCUCGGAUGCUGUCCCUGACUGGUUUUGGGAUCUGUCCAUUGAACUCGUUCUUUUAAAUCUCUCUAACAACCAGAUCAGGGGUAAACUUUCUAAUUUGUCUUUUUUAAGAUAUGAUGAUAUUGUUAUAGACGUCAGUUCAAACCACUUUUGGGGCCCAAUUCCACCACUUCCUUCAAAUUCUACGUUAUUGAAUCUCUCAAAAAAUAAGUUCUCAGGAUCAAUUACUUUCUUAUGUUCUAUUAUAAAAAACACAUGGAACUUUUUUGAUCUCUCGAGUAACUUAUUAUCUGGAGGGCUUCCAGAUUGUUGGUUGAAUUUUGAUAGCUUAUCCAUUCUUAAUUUGGCAAACAAUAGCUUCUCCGGGAAAAUUCCAGACUCGAUGGGCUUCCUACAUAAUAUCCAAACACUGAGUUUACACAACAAUAGGUUAACUGGGGAAUUGCCUUCAUCUUUAAAGAAUUGCUCACAACUGAGAGUUUUGGAUCUUGGGGAGAAUGCAUUGUACAGUGAGAUACCAACCUGGAUAGGGGGAAGUCUUCAAAAUUUGAUUGUUCUUAGCUUGAAAUCUAAUAAUUUUCAUGGAAAUAUACCUUUGCAGUUAUGCCAUCUGGCAUUAAUUCAAGUCCUGGAUCUCUCUUUAAACAAUAUAUCGGGAAAUAUACCAAAAUGUUUCAAUAAUUU
RNAcentral lists this long non-coding RNA (1652 nucleotides) under Citrus sinensis (sweet orange). RNAcentral's name for it is "long non-coding RNA (CSIN_LNC004774)". Lineage: Eukaryota; Viridiplantae; Streptophyta; Magnoliopsida; Sapindales; Rutaceae. The record is from RNAcentral.